GUGUGUUUUCAGUUUAUUUAUUCUCAGUGUGUCUUUUUGAAAUCUCAGUGUGUAAUUUUCAAUUCUCAGUGUGUAAUUUUUAAUUCUCAGUGUGUGUUUUUCAUUUUUGUAUUCUCAGUGCGUCUUUAUGAAAUCUCAGUGUGUAAUUUUUAAUUCUCAGUGUGUAAUUUUUAAUUCUCAGUGUGUGUUUUGAAGUUUUUGAAUCUCACUGUGCUUUGUUGUAAUUCUCAGUGUGUAAAUUUUUCGAAAAAUGGUUUAAACAUAGUUUUGACGAGAACGGCUUGCCAUAA
This 290-nucleotide long non-coding RNA is filed under the name Mytilus galloprovincialis (Mediterranean mussel). Lineage: Eukaryota; Metazoa; Mollusca; Bivalvia; Mytilida; Mytilidae. The record is from RNAcentral.